RNAcentral lists this ribosomal RNA (465 nucleotides) under uncultured bacterium. RNAcentral describes it as "partial 16S ribosomal RNA". It matches the Rfam family "Bacterial small subunit ribosomal RNA", at positions 28 to 507 of the family's 1533-position model. The record is from RNAcentral.
GACGAACGCUGGCGGCGUGCUUAACACAUGCAAGUCGAACGGAAAGGCCCUGCUUGCUGGGUACUCGAGUGGCGAACGGGUGAGUAACACGUGGGUGUUCUGCCCUGCACUUCGGGAUAAGUCUGGGAAACUGGGUCUAAUACCGGAUCGGAGCCAUUUUGAGUGUGGUGGUUGGAAAGUUUUUUCGGUGUAGGAUGAGCUCGCGGCCUAUCAGCUUGUUGGUGGGGUAAUGGCCUACCAAGGCGGCGACGGGUAGCCGGCCUGAGAGGGUGGACGGCCACAGUGAGACUGAGAGACGGCCCAGACUCCGACGGGAGGCAGCAGUGGGGAAGAUUGCACAAGGGGCGUAAGCCUGAUGCAGCGACGCCGCGUGGGGGAUGACGGCCUUCGGGUUGUGAACUCCUUUCGCUAGGGACGAAGCUUUUUGUGACGGUACCUAGAUAAGAAGCACCGGCUAACUACGUG